This 459-nucleotide ribosomal RNA is filed under the name uncultured bacterium. Its description in RNAcentral is "partial 16S ribosomal RNA". It matches the Rfam family "Bacterial small subunit ribosomal RNA", at positions 338 to 795 of the family's 1533-position model. The record is from RNAcentral.
CCUACGGGAGGCAGCAGUGAGGAAUAUUGGUCAAUGGGCGAGAGCCUGAACCAGCCAAGUCGCGUGAAGGAUGACGGCCCUACGGGUUGUAAACUUCUUUUGUCAGGGAGCAAUUGAGUCCACGUGUGGGCUUAGCGAGAGUACCUGAAGAAAAGCAUCGGCUAACUCCGUGCCAGCAGCCGCGGUAAUACGGAGGAUGCGAGCGUUUUCCGGAUUUAUUGGGUUUAAAGGGUGCGUAGGCGGAAUAUCAAGUCAGCGGUAAAAAUUCGGGGCUCAACCCCGUCGUGCCGUUGAAACUGAUGGUCUUGAGUGGGCGAGAAGUAUGCGGAAUGCGUGGUGUAGCGGUGAAAUGCAUAGAUAUCACGAAGAACUCCGAUUGCGAAGGCAGCAUACCGGCGCCCAACUGACGCUGAAGCACGAAAGCGUGGGUAUCGAACAGGAUUAGAUACCCUUGUAGUC